UCCUGAUAGCUCAGUUGGUAAAGAAUCUGCCUGCAAUGCAGGAGACCCUGGUUUGAUUCCUGGGUCGGGAA
This 71-nucleotide transfer RNA is filed under the name Bos taurus (domestic cattle). It matches the Rfam family "tRNA". Rfam says of the family: Transfer RNA (tRNA) molecules are approximately 80 nucleotides in length. Their secondary structure includes four short double-helical elements and three loops (D, anti-codon, and T loops). The record is from Rfam by way of RNAcentral. Lineage: Eukaryota; Metazoa; Chordata; Mammalia; Artiodactyla; Bovidae. RNAcentral also lists the same sequence under 1 other name.